RNAcentral lists this ribosomal RNA (400 nucleotides) under uncultured bacterium. RNAcentral describes it as "bacterial SSU rRNA". It matches the Rfam family "Bacterial small subunit ribosomal RNA", at positions 29 to 440 of the family's 1533-position model. The record is from RNAcentral.
AAUCAACGCUGGCGGCGCGCUUAACACAUGCAAGUCGAACGAGAAAGCCGGGGCAACCUGGUGAGUAAAGUGGCGUACGGGUGAGUAACACGUGGGUGAUCUGCCCUCUGGUGGGGAAUAACCCUGGGAAACCGGGGCUAAUACCGCAUAAGUCCGCGAGGAGAAAGUCGCAAGACGCCGGAGGAGGAGCCCGCGGCCGAUUAGCUAGUUGGUGGGGUAAUGGCCCACCAAGGCGAUGAUCGGUAGCCGGCCUGAGAGGGCACACGGCCACACUGGCACUGAAACACGGGCCAGACUCCUACGGGAGGCAGCAGUGGGGAAUCUUGCACAAUGGGGGAAACCCUGAUGCAGCGACGCCGCGUGAGCGAUGAAGCCCUUCGGGGUGUAAAGCUCUUUCGGC